Molecule: long non-coding RNA, 675 nt
Filed under: Hordeum vulgare
Lineage: Eukaryota; Viridiplantae; Streptophyta; Magnoliopsida; Poales; Poaceae
Description: long non-coding RNA (HVUL_LNC011825)
Source: RNAcentral
CGGCCAGGUCGACCUCGUUGCCGCCCUUCUUUUCCCUGUCUCUGGUGUUUCUCCUCCUCUCUCUAAUGUCUCUCUCUCCCCUUGCAAUCAAGAGCAGCCAUGGAGGCGCCGAAGGACCUCCAAGCCAUCCUCGGAUCCGACCCCAACGCCCAUCCCUCACCUCCUAGCGCCGCCGGUAACCUCGUCGUUGCCCUGCUCUCCCCGUUCUUCCCUUUCUUCCAUGCCCCUUCGCUCAUCUCUCUCUGUCUCGUUCGAACAGGAAGCCAUGGAGGCCAAGCUCCGCCGGAUCACAUCAGAUCCGUCGGGAAUGGAGCCACCCCGGCCAGAUCCGGCAAGAGCCGCCGCUGCCCGAGCCUUCCAUGUCGUUCCCCGCCGCAAUCCGUGCUCGAGACCCCUGCCCAGACCGCCAUGGCCUCCCCAUCCCCUGAUGUGAGCAAGUCCCUGCGUAACUGAAUUUCAGUUCUUUCCAAGAUCUGUUCCGCCAUGCUGAUGUUAUGUAGUAUUGCCUCUGAAUUCCUACACGCACACAUGGUUACUAAAGUGGCUAGCGCUCUCUCCUUCUAGCCAGGAGACCCGGGAUCAAAUCCCAGCGAGCUCUUAUUUAAUUUUUGUUGCACCAUCGACGUACACAUGUUGCUAUUUCUUCUCCGGUAUUUCAGAUGCUUAUAGCACAAG